This 262-nucleotide ribosomal RNA is filed under the name uncultured archaeon. RNAcentral's name for it is "partial 16S ribosomal RNA". It matches the Rfam family "Archaeal small subunit ribosomal RNA", at positions 748 to 1009 of the family's 1478-position model. The record is from RNAcentral.
CAGCCGUAAACUAUGCGCGUUAGGUGUAUCGGUGACCACGAGUCACCGAGGUGCCGAAGGGAAACCGUGAAACGUGCCGCCUGGGAAGUACGGUCGCAAGGCUGAAACUUAAAGGAAUUGGCGGGGGAGCACCACAACGGAUGGAGCCUGCGGUUUAAUUGGAUUCAACACCGUAAAACUACACCAGGGAAGACUGUUACAUGAAGGCCGAGAUGAAGACUCUGCUAGAUUUUCAGAGAGGAGGUGCAUGGCGUAGACGUCU